GACGAACGCUGGCGGCGUGCUUAACACAUGCAAGUCGAACGGAAAGGCCCUGCUUGCAGGGUACUCGAGUGGCGAACGGGUGAGUAACACGUGGGUGAUCUGCCCUGCACUUCGGGAUAAGCCUGGGAAACUGGGUCUAAUACCGGAUAGGAGCCAUUUUUAGUGUGAUGGUUGGAAAGUUCUUUCGGUGUAGGAUGAGCUCGCGGCCUAUCAGCUUGUUGGUGGGGUAAUGGCCUACCAAGGCGGCGACGGGUAGCCGGCCUGAGAGGGUGGACGGCCACAUUGGGACUGCGAUACAGCCCAGACUCCUACGGGAGGCAGCAGUGGGGAAUAUUGCACAAUGGGCGCAAGCCUGAUGCAGCGACGCCGCGUGGGGGAUGACGGCCUUCGGGUUGUAAACUCCUUUCGCUAGGGACGAAGCUUUUUGUGACGGUACCUAGAUAAGAAGCACCGGCUAACUACGUG
This 465-nucleotide ribosomal RNA is filed under the name uncultured bacterium. RNAcentral's name for it is "partial 16S ribosomal RNA". It matches the Rfam family "Bacterial small subunit ribosomal RNA", at positions 28 to 507 of the family's 1533-position model. The record is from RNAcentral.